This 338-nucleotide unclassified non-coding RNA is filed under the name soil metagenome. RNAcentral's name for it is "partial contains 5.8S ribosomal RNA, internal transcribed spacer 2, and large subunit ribosomal RNA". The stretch from base 1 to 120 matches the Rfam family "5.8S ribosomal RNA", at positions 35 to 154 of the family's 154-position model. The record is from RNAcentral.
GAUGAAGAACGUAGCGAAAUGCGAUAAGUAAUGUGAAUUGCAGAAUUCAGUGAACCAUCGAAUCUUUGAACGCACAUUGCGCCCUCUGGUAUUCCGGAGGGCAUGCCUGUUCGAGCGUCAUUUCGACCCUCAAGCAUUGCUUGGUGUUGGGGCACCGCCUGUAAAAGGGCGGGCCCUGAAAUCUAGUGGCGAGCUCGCCAGGACCCCGAGCGUAGUAAUUAUAUUUCGUUCUGGAAGGCCCUGGCGGUGCCCUGCCGUUAAACCCCCAACUUCUGAAAAUUUGACCUCGGAUCAGGUAGGAAUACCCGCUGAACUUAAGCAUAUCAAUAAGCGGAGGA